AGUGAACGCUGGCGGUAGGCCUAACACAUGCAAGUCGAACGGCAGCACAGUAAGAGCUUGCUCUUACGGGUGGCGAGUGGCGGACGGGUGAGGAAUACAUCGGAAUCUACUUUUUCGUGGGGGAUAACGUAGGGAAACUUACGCUAAUACCGCAUACGACCUACGGGUGAAAGCAGGGGAUCUUCGGACCUUGCGCGAUUGAAUGAGCCGAUGUCGGAUUAGCUAGUUGGCGGGUAAAGGCCCACCAAGGCGACGAUCCGUAGCUGGUCUGAGAGGAUGAUCAGCCACACUGGAACUGAGACACGGUCCAGACUCCUACGGGAGGCAGCAGCGGGGAAUAUUGGACAAUGGGCGCAAGCCUGAUCCAGCCAUACCGCGUGGGUGAAGAAGGCCUUCGGGUUGUAAAGCCCUUUUGUUGGGAAAGAAAAGCAGCAGGUUAAUACCCCGCUGUUCUGACGGUACCCAAAGAAUAAGCACCGGCUAACUUCGUG
Molecule: ribosomal RNA, 491 nt
Filed under: uncultured bacterium
Lineage: Bacteria
Description: partial 16S ribosomal RNA
Rfam family: Bacterial small subunit ribosomal RNA
Source: RNAcentral